ACGAAUAAACUUGAACAGGCUGUUGCUAGCUCCCCCUGGGGGGCAUGUGCACGCUUGUCAUCUUUGUUUCUCCAACUGUGCACACAUUGUAGACCUUUCAGGUCUAUGUUGCUUCAUUUACCCCAAUGUAUGUUAAUAGAAUGUUGUGCCUAUAUAAUAUAUA
RNAcentral lists this unclassified non-coding RNA (163 nucleotides) under uncultured Cortinariaceae. RNAcentral describes it as "sequence contains ITS1". Lineage: Eukaryota; Fungi; Basidiomycota; Agaricomycetes; Agaricales; Cortinariaceae. The record is from RNAcentral.